This 300-nucleotide ribosomal RNA is filed under the name uncultured Acaulospora. Its description in RNAcentral is "SSU rRNA". It matches the Rfam family "Eukaryotic small subunit ribosomal RNA", at positions 569 to 873 of the family's 1831-position model. Lineage: Eukaryota; Fungi; Glomeromycota; Glomeromycetes; Diversisporales; Acaulosporaceae. The record is from RNAcentral.
AGCAGCCGCGGUAAUUCCAGCUCCAAUAGCGUAUAUUAAAGUUGUUGCAGUUAAAAAGCUCGUAGUUGAACUUCGGGGUUUACUCAUUGGUCAGGCUUAAUUGUCUGUACUGGUGAGAUGAAUCUCUACCUUCUGAGGAACUUUCAUGUCAUUUAUUUGGUGUGAUUGGAAAUCAGGACUGUUACUUUGAAAAAUUGAGUGCUUAAAGCAGGCUAACGUCUGAAUACAUUAGCAUGGAAUAAUGAAAUAGGACGGAUUGAUUCUAUUUCGUUGGUUUCUAGGGUCACCGUAAUGUAUUAA